RNAcentral lists this ribosomal RNA (497 nucleotides) under uncultured bacterium. RNAcentral's name for it is "partial 16S ribosomal RNA". It matches the Rfam family "Bacterial small subunit ribosomal RNA", at positions 28 to 507 of the family's 1533-position model. The record is from RNAcentral.
GACGAACGCUGGCGGCGUGCCUAAUACAUGCAAGUUGAGCGCUGAAGGUUGGUACUUGUACCAACUGGAUGAGCAGCGAACGGGUGAGUAACGCGUGGGGAAUCUGCCUUUGAGCGGGGGACAACAUUUGGAAACGAAUGCUAAUACCGCAUAAAAACUUUAAACACAAGUUUUAAGUUUGAAAGAUGCAAUUGCAUCACUCAAAGAUGAUCCCGCGUUGUAUUAGCUAGUUGGGGAGGUAAAGGCUCACCAAGGCGAUGAUACAUAGCCGACCUGAGAGGGUGAACGGCCAACAUGGGACCGGAACAAGGCCCAAACCCCUUAGGGAGGCAGCAGGAGGGAAACUUCGGCAAUGGACGAAAGUCUGACCGAGCAACGCCGCGGGAGUGAAGAAGGUUUUCGGAUCGUAAAACUCUGUUGGUAGAGAAGAACGUUGGUGAGAGUGGAAAGCUCAUCAAGUGACGGUAACUACCCAGAAAGGGACGGCUAACUACGUG